UGGCGGGUGGGUGAAAGACCCGAGCUAACAUGGGGUUAGUUCGUUAAAUUACAAUAAAGCCUCGUGCAGUUUGCAGCAAGCUCUCGAAUCUGCCUGGUGAUUGGGGUGACCGCGAACGUGGCCUGGGACCCCGAAUACUUGAGUUUUCGGGGGUCUAACAGGCUUUGAACUUCUGAUCCUUUUGCCUGUACCUUCGGAGUACUGGGGAUAGCCUACAUGUGCUGCCACACUGGACUUACUAGCUCAGGAUCCAAACCAGAGCUUUGUACAAGCUAGGGAAGUAUUCUACUGACUGGGCUACAGCUUCUACCCCAGAACAGACUUCAAAUAUACCACCAAUUGUGAUAUGCUUCAGAAUAGCAAAAAAUGAAACAAUUCUUAAAAACGUCAAGAAAAGUCUGUUAAUCAAAAAGGAGUGUGUAUCAGACCGGUAAUGAGACUCUCCAGAAAUGCAAAAUGUUAAAAGAGAACCACCCUAAGUUUCUACAGCCAAAGAGCUGUCCAUCGCAGGCUUUGUGUCCCGACUUGACUGACCAUGGACUGUGGGCAGGGAGUUAGUCGCUCCUGAGAUACGAACCAACUUGGGUCGGUGAGUAAUUCCAUCUACUCUGGGCGUGUGACAUCUUCUUACCUGCGGGAUGGACCAGCGUUCAAUCCGUGGAGUUACUGUACCCUGCUGCCCACAGCCCGUUACAGACCCUCAAUCACCAGCCUCAAAGGAGAGCGCCCCAAGACACAGGGAGAAACACCGCCGACAGCCCGGGACUGCGAGCCGCCCACUCGCCCGCCCGCCGGCCGGCACGCGCGGGUUGGAGCCCGGCCAACCCGCAGCGCGCCCUACACACCCCACAGGCGAGCCAGCCUCCCGCCGAGAGACGCCCUCACCUCAGCCCUGGAGACUCGCGCCCUCAGCCAGCCGGCUCGGCCGCUACCACACGCCCGCCUUCCCCGGCCGGGCCAGAUGCUCAUUGGCUACAGCCCCUGCCGCUCAGCGCCUCGGACGCUCCCGCGCGUCCCGAGGCCUCCGGGUGCUGGUCGGAGAGCGCCGCCACCUGAUUGGCCAGCGCCGGCCCUCGGCGGGUCUCGCGCUAUCUGCUGUGGCCAAUGGGACUCCCCGCAGUCUAGAGAGCCGCGUCGCUGGAGCGGUGGCGCAGCUUUUGGCUCGGUCUGGCUGUUCCCCACUGCUCCUCAGUGAUUUGGGGCAGGAAAAGAUUUGGAAAGACAGAAACCAAAGAAGAUGGGAGACUGCCACCAGCAAAGACCAUUUAGAGAAGAAUUUGGGUGCAAAGAGCUUUUCUAGAGAGGUAAGGGAGAAGCAAGGGGUGAUAAGUCUUCAUGCUGAAUGGGGUCUCCAUCACCCAGAGCCUUGUUUUGUUUUUCUCUACUGGAUUAGUUUUGAGGUACCAAUCAGCUUUUGUUCCUAGGCCAGUCCAUGUAGUUUUCUUUAGGUAAAAACACGUGAUUUCUGAGCCAGUUAAAGAUGAUUUCUUUUCAGUUAGAGAAUAAGAUAGCAAAUCAUUCAUCUAUUGUUUGAUCCCAUCCAAAGACAGAUCCUUGAGUUCUGUAAAUCUAGAGAAAAGUAAGUUGUAAGAUGCUGGCCUUGGGACCUGAGUGGAUUAAGGUGCCUGUUACCAAGCACCUGAGAACCUGAGUUUAGUUCCAGGACCCACAUGGUAAAAGGAGAGAACCAGUUCCCACACGUUGCCUUCUGACUUCCACGUCCAUGAGCAAGCACAGUAAUUUUUUUUUAAGGACCUUAGUUGUAAAAAGAAAAAUGUCAAAUACCAUUUGGAGUUCUCAAAAAAAGAUGUAUGUCUGCAGAUACUUAUGUAUGUCUGCAGUGCCUUUGCCCAGGAAUAGCUAACCUUGCAGUUAAUCACUAAACUACUAGCAGCAAGCCAGGGGUGUUUGCUCAUGCUGUGAUCCUGGGCUGAGGCAUGAGGAUCAUGAGGUCCAGACCAACCUAGGACAUAGAAGACUUAGAACAUUAAUACAAAGCCAGAAAGCAAAACAUAACCAUUUGAGCCUAUUAGGUAGCUUAGCUAGUGGGAGACUGAUCAAACAGAAUCUUGCUGUGUAGCCUAGGUUGGCAGCUUCCUGAGUCCUGGCACUGUCAAUGUGUAUUGCCACCAGUGAUUAUUUGCUUGUUUUGUUCUUAAGAGUGGGUCUUACUGUAGUCUAGGCUAGGUUGGGACUUGAGAGUGUGUCUGCCUGAAACAUGCUAGGAUUAGGGCCUAAACCAAUAAAUCUGACCAGAAUUAGUGGGGCUUUUGCUUUGUUUAAAAGUCAACUAAAACAAGUGAAGCUAGAGAGCUUAUAUACCCUUGGGUUAUAGUGCCAGUCUCAGCCUCUUAGAAGUAUAGACAGGGUUCAUUCAAUUACUAUAAGCCAAUGGGGAUUCCUUGAGAGGAAAUACCUCUUACUAAGAUAAUGAUGAUUAUCAGCUCAUUUAAAGUAUAUCUCAAAUAAAAGUAUAUCUCCAUUGGUGGAGAGGUAUGAUGAAGACUUUUUAAGGCUUUACAGUUAGUUGUCCAAACUAAGACCUAGGAUAGCUAUUGUUUGUAACUUGGUUGCACAGUAUCUUACAGUGGCCUUAGUGGAGUUUGUAGUUGACAAUGGUAUUGCAGUGUCAAAAUGUUGGAUACACUGAUGCCAGAAGUCUGUAUUUUCUUCUUCUUCUUCUUCUUCUUCUUCUUCUUCUUCUUCUUCUUCUUCUUCUUCUUCUUCUUCUUCUUCUUCUUCUUUUUUAUACAUAUGUGGAAAGUGUAUUGGGAGAUGGGGGAGGGGGAGACAGAGACAGUAACCUGCCUCCACAGAGAAAUGGCAGAGAAAGAGAAAGUCUGUAUUUUCAUAGUCUGUUUCUUUCCUGCAAGUAAAUAACAAUGGCAACACCAGAUAGAAAAGAACACAGAAGAACAAGGAAAAACAGCUUUUUUUUUUUUUUAAAGAAAUCAAUAACAAGAACUUGGAAAAAAUGAAGGGCAUAUGGAAUCAGUGAAGUUUCUUUUUUUAAUUUCCAAGAUAAAUACCUCUGGGAUACAAGAAGGUAAAAGUCCUUAGUAACUGGGUUAGGUAGGUUUGCAUCAUUUUUCAGGAAGCAUCUUGUCAAGAUGUAUCAACAAAGAAGUCUGUCUUGACCUUUUCUAGGAGAAUCCUGAGGAAAUUAAAUCAAAGCCUUAUGCUCUCCUAUAACUUCAUCCUUUUGAAAAAUUGGAACUACCAGAAUAGUUUCUACAUUGUGACAUGACCAUUGUGAUGGGUUGAGUUUCCACUUUUUGAAAGCUAAUGAAAAAAGUGUGCAUAAUUGGAGAAACAACCUGUGAGAAGGAAAAAAAUUUGCACAGCAAGGACAAGAUUGCUGUUGCUAAUCUAUAGUACAAACAGUAUGGCCUUCGGCUUCUGGGUGAACUGCAUCUGCACACUACUGCAGCCAUCAGCUCCUGGGUGAAAUGCAUCUGCACACUACUGCAGCCAUCAGUUCCUAGAUGAAAUGCAUCUGCACUUUACUGCAUUUAUCAGCUCCUGGGUGAAAUGCAUCUGCACUUUACUGCAGCCAUCAGCUCCUGGGUGAAAUGCAUCUGCACAUUACUGCAGCCAUCAGCUCCUGGGUGAAAUGCAUCUGUACUUUACUGCAGCUAUCAGCUCCUGGGUGAAAUGCAUCUGUACUUUACUGCAGCCAUCAGCUCCUGGGUGAAAUGCAUUUGCACUUUACUGCAGCCAUCAGCUCCUAGAUGAAAUGCAUCUGCACACUACUGCAGCCAUCACUUGGCACUGUCAGUGUUUGGUUUUUUGUUUUUUUAUUUCUGCUGUUACAGGAGAGAUAGAGUGGCAUCUUACAGUGGACUUAAUCUACAUUUCUCUUCCAAUGAUGAUUCUUUUCUCUAAUGAAGAAAUGAGAACCUGUAUUUGCUUCUCUAUAGAUACUUACAACAAUUUUGUUUGUCACCACCACCAAAACUGGAAUCAACUCAGGUCAAUUGGACAAUACAGUUUCAAAAGCUCCAACUUAUGAACAAAACUAACUUGGGACCUCUGUUUUAAUCCAGAAAAAUAUGUAAAUAUAUAAAAAUUAUCACAUAAGAAUAAAAAUUCAUACAUUAGAUUACAUUGUGAAAAGAUGCUUUAGAAAUGUGGCCACAAAGAAGAUUAAAAUGGUAAUCUUAAGUAUUUUAGCUCAGAGAAAUUGUAGUAAAGGUGAAAUCUUUUUUGUUGUUGUGCUCUGAUUUGUAUGUUUUGUAGCUGAGGCUGGCUGGAUGUGAUUCUCCUGGCUAUCUCCAUAAUGCUAGAACUACACGUGUGAGCUACUAUGUCUCGUUUAAGUUUAAAUCUUUUAAAGAAACAGUAAAGCAGAAAAAAGGGGAUCUCAGAAGUAAUAUAGCUACACCUUACCAGAAUAACAAGUGAGGGCUGAUGGAACUCAUGGAGUGUUUGAGAAAAGGAGGCAUUUUUAGUGACAAAUUAGAAAAUGGAAAAUACGAACCACAGAUGGCACAAUAAGAGAAAAAGGAGAAAUAAGAACUCAAUAUCUUUUUAAAAGCUUGCGGCAUGGUAGUGCAGACCUUUAAUCCCAAAGCCUGGAGGCAGAGGCAGGCGGAUCUCUCUGUGAGUUCCAAACAAGUCAGGGACAUAUUCUUAAAAAAAAAAAAAAGACAGGAGAGGCAGCCAAAUAGUUUUUCUCAUGUGAACUGAAGUUCAAUGGUGGUUGUAUAACAUUGUACUUAAUGCCAGUAGAUUGAAAGCUUAAAAAUGGCCUAAAUGGUAAACUUUGUGCUCAUUUUGUCAUAAUAAACCCUGUAAAGUAAAGCAUUGAACUACAACAACUGUCAAGCUACAGUUCCUGAACACUCAACACUAAAGAAGGAUAAAGGCUGGCUCUGCUGAAAGGCACCCCAAGAUCUGGAACUCAGCCCAGAGCACUUAAUACUGAGAUGUAGUAUUGUAAAAAUGGUUGGAUUUUAAAAUCAUGGAAAAAAAAAAAAAGCUCAAGUGGAUUGGAAAAAUAGCACAUGGAUUUGAUGUUUUGGGCAGCUACAUUUCAUUCUAGAUAAUAAAGCAACAGUUUAAAAAACUAUUAAAUGAAAUGCAAUUAUUCAUAUCACCAGACUGUCCUUUAAGAACUUGAGGACAUUGCUAUGUAUGGUGGCAUGCCUAUAAUCUUAGCACUUAGGAGCCUGAGGUAGAUGGAUCAGAGUUCAAGGUCAUCCUCUAUUAAAUAGUAAGUUCCUGGUCAACGUGGUCUACCAAAAGGUUCAGUCACAAAACAAUUUAAGGAUUAUUGUUUCAGUGCUUCCUGAAGGAAUAUACUAGUGAAAAAAUUUCAAACAGUAAAUGAUUCAGGAAAUGUUCAACAUAAAAUCAAGUUGUAAACAUUAAAUAUAUUGUAAUGAUGGGAAUAAUGGUUUUAGAGUUAUGCUAUCUGACAAUGUAGAAAAAAUAUGACCCACUGUCAGGAAGUCUGUUUUAGAGGAAAUAAAGGUACUGCCCCCGAGUUGAAUAUGAG
Molecule: long non-coding RNA, 5500 nt
Filed under: Cricetulus griseus (Chinese hamster)
Lineage: Eukaryota; Metazoa; Chordata; Mammalia; Rodentia; Cricetidae
Description: lncRNA (ENSCGRG00015038506.1)
Source: RNAcentral